Molecule: long non-coding RNA, 885 nt
Organism: Vollenhovia emeryi
Lineage: Eukaryota; Metazoa; Arthropoda; Insecta; Hymenoptera; Formicidae
Exons: 2
Source: RefSeq, a predicted model, not a curated record
UGGCCAUAUAGGUUAAUCGGAUUUCUUCUUAACGAGUAAUACGAGUGUGGAACGUUGACGCAGGUUAUGGGAACCACCCUCGCUCGGGGGUGGUAGCUUUACGAUGCUGAGGACAGCGGCGUUGACGCUAAUCCGGCUCGGCGUUCCAAUUUUUGAGGUAGCCAGUUGAGAGCUAUUUCAAGGAGCUUCUCCUCGGACAAUUCCAGCGGGCGAGGAGAGACGUCCCUGCAAAAUGCAGGAGCGAUAGCGCUGCCAAAACAUUGAUGCAACUGGAAAUGCUUGCCGCUAUUCUGCCACAAGGAGAUCUAUUUAUUCGAUCAGAUGCGGUACAUACGGAAUACCAAUUCCGUUAAUUGCGUUCGUGGACUGCGUCGCACUAUGUACCUGGUACAUACCUGGGUAUACUACAUAUUUCACUCGCGCAGACGAUGACGAAUGACAAAUACGACACGUUUCGGUUGAAGGAGGGCGAGAUCGACGUGAGAUUAAAUGUCUUCAAGGGUUACUUCGUGCAGCCGAAACGGUCAAUCGGGGAAGUAAAAGUAGCACUCGCGAAAAGAGGCGCGAGGAGAACAAGCUUUUGAUCGCGAAAUAAACGAUUGGCGAAUUAAGGAACUGGCCAUUGUACUUUUCGAAAUAAUCGCCAUGCGACGAAGUACACGCGCUGCAAUAAUAAUUUAUCGUGUUAAGCUUCUUACUUAGACCACGGGAGGGUUAAACUGAUGAUGUGGCAUGACGACUGCCUGACAUGAAUAAUGGAAUGCGUGUAGUAGCGUAAAAAUGGAAAUAAAAAUACACAUUAUAAAAAACAAGUUAAAAGUGGAUAUCAUGUAAUCUCUUUCAGAGAAAGUACGAGAAUACGAGAAAUUAAAUACUCGAAAAGAA